Molecule: long non-coding RNA, 266 nt
Filed under: Ananas comosus (pineapple)
Lineage: Eukaryota; Viridiplantae; Streptophyta; Magnoliopsida; Poales; Bromeliaceae
Description: long non-coding RNA (ACOM_LNC001969)
Source: RNAcentral
UGCGGGAAAGUAAAAGUUACAAGUAGACUACUCCUAGAAAAUGUGAGAAAAUGCGAGGAAAUAAGGGUGGUCUUUUGUUCACAAGGAAAAGACCUCUUUUUAGGGCGUUAUUGACCUAUUUAUAGAUCGCCCCUUGUGAUCAGUUAUUACCUAUACAUGAUCGGCCACUAUUCCUGAUUUUCCGGACCACUUACAGCCGAUCGGAACCGCUUGCAACUGCUUGCGAUUACUAUAACUUCCUUUAAAUCAUGCGGUUUAAGAUCCUC